RNAcentral lists this ribosomal RNA (360 nucleotides) under uncultured bacterium. Its description in RNAcentral is "bacterial SSU rRNA". It matches the Rfam family "Bacterial small subunit ribosomal RNA", at positions 30 to 389 of the family's 1533-position model. The record is from RNAcentral.
AUUGAACGCUGGCGGCAGGCCUAACACAUGCAAGUCGAGCGGUAGAGAGGUGCUUGCAUCUCUUGAGAGCGGCGGACGGGUGAGUAAUGCCUAGGAAUCUGCCUAGUGGUGGGGGAUAACGUUCGGAAACGGACGCUAAUACCGCAUACGUCCUACGGGAGAAAGCGGGGGAUCUUCGGACCUCGCGCCAUUAGAUGAGCCUAGGUCGGAUUAGCUAGUUGGUGAGGUAAUGGCUCACCAAGGCGACGAUCCGUAACUGGUCUGAGAGGAUGAUCAGUCACACUGGAACUGAGACACGGUCCAGACUCCUACGGGAGGCAGCAGUGGGGAAUAUUGGACAAUGGGCGAAAGACCUGAUCC